This 273-nucleotide unclassified non-coding RNA is filed under the name fungal sp. Its description in RNAcentral is "partial internal transcribed spacer region". The stretch from base 1 to 46 matches the Rfam family "Eukaryotic small subunit ribosomal RNA", at positions 1786 to 1831 of the family's 1831-position model. Lineage: Eukaryota; Fungi. The record is from RNAcentral.
AAGUCGUAACAAGGUUUCCGUAGGUGAACCUGCGGAAGGAUCAUUAAAGAAAUCUGGCAAACGGUCCUUCACGGGGCUUAGUAGCCUUUUCUCUACAACCCACCCCUUUGUGAACCAACGCGCGAGUUAGUAAAAGGGGGCGUGCUUCGGUGCACGCACCUUUGAAGGCUAGCGACUUUUUACCAUAUAUACACCUUUAGCAAGUCUCAGAAUGUUACCUUUGCGUCUAACGCGAUGAAAUUACAACUUUCAGCAACGGAUCUCUUGGCUCUC